GACUAAAAGGACGAGGACAUUAGUUUGUAGUAACAGCACUGGAAAUCUCAUCAGACCCUCCUCAGUCAUAACCAAGAGAACUCGCCGCUUGGCAAGUUGCAAGACCAACGACCUGUCCCCGCUGAGCCAGUCCAGACUUAAACUCAGGUCUGUGGUCUCUGCUGGUGAUCUGCACUGUUCUACAGCAGGCUCUACUGCACAUAUCGCUGUAACCACAGCACAGGGGCUGGUACUUUUUUUUUUUUUUUUUCUUUCUCUACAUUUCAGAGUCAAACUUGGCCUAAAACUAAGGAGUUUGUCCUUGUUCUUGAGUUCAGUGUAUGGAGUCAGAUUUUUGAAUAAAGUGUUCCUUAUGUGAGCUGAGGUCCUGUGGUUUAACAGAUUCUAGACAUUGAUGUUUUUCACAAGUCAAGUGUUUCUCUUCAUAGAUGGUGAGCUUUUCUGAAGAGACUAAAGAUGACAUUAACUGGGACAUGCUGGAUGACGUGGCGCGGUGCCAGAUUAAGAAGCUCUCGAGUCUGAUAGAUUAUCUGUCACAGCGGAGUGGCUGCGACAGAUGACCGAAGAAACCCAAAUAUCCCCGUGUCCAGGAUGUCUGUCCAGAUGGAGCUCAGAAACGCAUUUAACUUCAAGAAGUUUCUAUUAUACGUGUUCAGCUGAACAGUGUAUUUACAAUGCAUUUGUGUGGGUUUUAAAACUAAUAAUAAAAGAUUAAGUGUUAAUUCAUGACUAAGUGCCAAAUUAUU
Long non-coding RNA from Astatotilapia calliptera (eastern happy), 746 nucleotides. The record is from Ensembl. NCBI's taxonomy places the organism in Eukaryota, Metazoa, Chordata, Actinopteri, Cichliformes, Cichlidae.